This 2742-nucleotide long non-coding RNA is filed under the name Orbicella faveolata. RNAcentral's name for it is "uncharacterized LOC110046694". The record is from RNAcentral. Lineage: Eukaryota; Metazoa; Cnidaria; Anthozoa; Scleractinia; Merulinidae.
UCUGUCUUACAUAGCAAAUUUUAAGCAUGCCACCGUUCAUUUUCUGCAUUUUGUUUAGACUAAUGUUCACGUUUUUCGGAUGCAAGGCACGCAAAAGUCUUCUGUUUACGGGACAUAGCUUUUGCUCUGUGACCUAUGAAUUAACCUUCGACCUUUGAGGCUCUCACGUGACGAGAAAAAAAUUCCUUCCCACGUGAGAACGUUGAAACCAUGGACAUUUGACCACAAAGCGCCAUUUGACAUAUUAGAAAGUGAUACUGAUGGAUAAUCUUUCGGGCUUUUAAGUCCAAAUUCUCCAAUUCUGGAAAAUUUGAAACAGGAAAAUACCCAAGCUACUAGGUAAGUCGAAACAGUUGCGAAGUCUGUCGUAAAUUCACGGUUACUUUGCAGAAAAGAUGAAAGUGAAUGGGUGGAAACGCUUCCCUGCGGCACUGAUUUUCAUCGAUAAAAGGUCAGUCUGAAAGGUCGGCAUAUGAAUGAAAAUGAAUGAAUGAAAACCAGGGACCCAACAAAUAUUCCCACCCUAGAGCUGUAGAACCCAUUUGGAAGUUCUGAGUUACAAGCAAACUUGGCCAUAACGAACUUGGAGCAUUCUUGCACGGUUACGUUCCUCGAAAGUUUGUCGAAUUUUGGGGAACAGUGCACAAGUAUACGGUAGGAAUAGCAACUGGUUGUUCGCCCCUAGUCUGUUGAAAUCGCCGUUGGGCCUUGACCUUCGGGAUAGGUCGAAAAUCUGACGGAUCACGAGCGGAGACUGCAGUUCGCUAUAAACACAGCAGUACUCUUGUUUACUUUCGUUUUGUUUGUUCUGCAGGGGUCAUUUGAGAAUGUGGCGGGAAGGGGUGGGGAGGCGGCUAUAGGGAUUAUAAAGGAUACGCUGGGUUAUUGUUCGCAACUUUCGGUCGCCGUGCUCACACUCUUCAGUUAUGCUGACGCAGAAAGCAAGUUGUCAAAUUUAUAGCAUACGAACCAAAAUGACGUUGAUAUAGCCUGAGUGAAGUAUUCAGGAAAAUCAAAGUCAGCUGAACACUUUGUUCACAGGGGAGGAGGUAAAGACUGUCUCAGACCAGUGUUACAAACUCACGCAGGGUUCAGACUGCUUGUACGGUGCAAAUAUGCGGGGAAGCUUAAGUUGAAUUGUAAAGAACUGUAAAUCCACCAAAUAAUGUCUCCAUGAAGUAGAGACAUCAACAUCAUCCCUUUUCUCGGCAUUCUCCGGGCAUUUGACCAGUUAUGGGUCCCCGAGGGAGGAAUUUCGACGUCGAUAUUUGUUGUUAGGAUGGGGGAUUUUACACCAUAUGGGAGGGGCCGGAGAAAUUUGAACUGAAGUUGCCUCGAAGUCAUGGUGAGGCUCCAAGGCAUUAAGAGACAAUACCAGUUCACGGUAACGUUGUGGCUUGACAAUAAAAGUUUUGUACUGUGUUUAAAGGCAAUUACAAAAUUUUGCUUGUCACACUGGGGAAGUUCAAAGCGGAUAUUCAACAGUGAAUUUUUUUAUUAUUAUUUUCUUUUCCAUUACUCAUUUUUGCCUUGUACAUGUCCCGUAAGGAGGGGUCUUCUCGCUAGUAUAGUGGGGCACAUACAACUUUUUUGGCCCGGGGAAGACCAACCAGAAACUCCAAAUACCCGGGAUGUUGGAGUAUAGAACUGAAUGGUCCAAUAGAAAAUAACAUUAAACUUGGCAAAUGUAUGGCAAUUAUUAACCAUUUCAUAUUACGUGUAUGCGCAUUUAGCCUGCAGUGCAGGCGUUUUCCCUGUGUUUACGAGUUGCUAUCGGUAUUAACUCGUGAUCGAGUAGAUUCGCCGCCAUGUUGGCUAGGGAAAAGUGGGCAAGGACCCCCUUACUCCACUUUCAGCCCCACUCCCCGCUAGCUAGGACGCCUUUUAGUCUCUACCCAAGCCUCUUCCGAAUUUGAAUCGAAGAUGCCACUAGCUCAAUUGAUCGAAAGGCACGCGCUCGCCCCCCGAAAUACGCCUGCAUUGUAUCCCGUGAAGAAAACAUCCCUUGUCUGAAACACUGGGCAAUUGUACUUGGCAGCUUUCCUAAUCAGGAAGUUGGAUUAGUAAUAAUUACAUUUUACACCAAAGUUCAAUUGAACUACCUUGCGUACACGUUGUGACAAGGAGUACAUCUCCAGCUCCCUGUUAAACAGAAAUGUGGAAGAAGUGUUUUUCAGUUGACUGGCGGGUCUGGUCCAUCUGCUGGUUAUGUUUCAGGUGAUUUUUGUGACGGAAGCUAUUGUCAAGUCAAAAUGAGAGGGACAAUUAUUUCUGACACUGGCAAGUGAUUCUGGAUUACAUGUUCAAGGCGCAAACACGAACAAGAUUCAACCUUCUCGGAUUGAAUUGUAGGCUCGAGGAGAUUAAAUUCCCGAGGCUUAGGCUAUUUUGACAGUGAAAGAAUCAAAAACCGUUUGGUAAGUGAACGUUCAUUUUGUAGCCUAAAUUUGUCGUGUUAGCUUGCAAAUGAUGUGUUCGUCCUCCUGAGUAGUUACCCGUACGUUAUUAAUGGUAAAUAAAUGUUGCUUGGUUCUGUCUCUUAUACUUCAUUCAGUUUUACUUUGGGCUUCCAGUAGUUUUGGGGAGUAGAAAUCCCUUUUCAUUCUGACGUUAUCCGUGAAGGUGCGUACCUACUCUACAAUUCGGGAAGAAGACAAUCUUUGAUUAAAGAUAAUUGCGCAAUUAGAGCGGUUUUCAAUGGAGUGUCGUAAAACCAAAACGUAGAGUAGUCAGCCAAUCUCA